This 497-nucleotide ribosomal RNA is filed under the name uncultured bacterium. Its description in RNAcentral is "partial 16S ribosomal RNA". It matches the Rfam family "Bacterial small subunit ribosomal RNA", at positions 28 to 507 of the family's 1533-position model. The record is from RNAcentral.
GAUGAACGCUGGCGGCGUGCCUAAUACAUGCAAGUCGAGCGAACAGACGAGGAGCUUGCUCCUCUGACGUUAGCGGCGGACGGGUGAGUAACACGUGGAUAACCUACCUAUAAGACUGGGAUAACUUCGGGAAACCGGAGCUAAUACCGGAUAAUAUAUUGAACCGCAUGGUUCAAUAGUGAAAGACGGUUUUGCUGUCACUUAUAGAUGGAUCCGCGCCGCAUUAGCUAGUUGGUAAGGUAACGGCUUACCAAGGCGACGAUGCGUAGCCGACCUGAGAGGGUGAUCGGCCACACUGGAACUGAGACACGGUCCAGACUCCUACGGGAGGCAGCAGUAGGGAAUCUUCCGCAAUGGGCGAAAGCCUGACGGAGCAACGCCGCGUGAGUGAUGAAGGUCUUCGGAUCGUAAAACUCUGUUAUUAGGGAAGAACAAAUGUGUAAGUAAAUAUGCACGUCUUGACGGUACCUAAUCAGAAAGCCACGGCUAACUACGUG